CUGAGAGCUGAAGUCAUCAAGGAAAUAUGUUUCUAAGUGUAGAAUAUGUCCUGGGUUCUUACUAAGAGGCGGUUCCUCUUCAUUCUUUCAGAGAUGGGGCUGUCUCUCCAUGAAAAGUCACAUGAUGUUCCUGGGGGGAGCUCCUCUGCCCAGCUCUUGUUUCAUUAGGCCCAAACUUGUCACAAGAUAGCCUUUUGUGAAGUCACAAAAGCUAGCUGCCUCCCCACAGGAACAGGGACCAGGACAACCAGGGACUAGUGGGCAUGACUUGAGUGGACAGAGGGUUUCAGAAGUGGCCUUUGGACUCUGGAGAGGCAUGUGAAGUUUAGAGAUGCUCAGGUUGUUGAGGGUGAGGGGGUCUGUUGGAGACCUGGUGAUGAGGACAGUUUCUCAGGUCUUGGUCAUUGCCAGGAGGAAAGGAGGCACAGGAGGUGAGCAUUCAGCCAGCACCCCAGGGACUACUUGGCCUGAAGCACUCACCCCCCCUCCCAGCAGCCUAAUGAAGAUGCCAUCUUGAAGGACGACAUCUUCUUCCCAGAGGGCCUGGAGCAGCCCAGCAGACUCCACCAGGUCUGUUGACACCUGCUCUGAGGAGGGAUGAGGAAGCAUCUAAGCCCCCCUCCUUUGGAAUCUGGGGUUGGAGGUGCUGGAGCAGGGGGUCUCAUUCCUCAUCUUGCCUUCCCUAGCCUACCCUACUCUUUUUAGACAGCUCAUGUCUCUUUUUGUGAACCCCCUGCUUGCAUCCUUCUCCAGGUAAGAGGGAGAUGGGGACGAAGAGCUCUUCUGCAGGCCCAGACCUUCAAUGUGGUACCUGGGCACAAUCUGGGAAGGCUUUCUGCAGGUGGGGUGAGGGACAGGCUGCAAAGGAGAGGAAAGAAAUAAAUGAAGGGGACCACAGUAAGAACCCAAACUGGGAUUUCCCUCAGCCUCCUUAGAACUGCAGGUGCAUCUCUCUCCUGCUGGUUACUCUUUUGCUCCUUCCUUCCUUCAUUCAUUGAGCACCAUGUGCUGGGCAGGAAAUUGCAUUCUGCCUCAUGUUCACAAGCUCCUAGAGGAGACAGCUACACAAAUAGCCAUAUAGUGUGACAAAGGCUGCAAAGAACAUGUUCUGGGACCCCAAAGGCUACUUAAGAGGGUCAGAGCAUCCAGAACAGUUGACAUGUAGCUCUUUAAAGGCCAAAUCUAUGUUUCCUAACCCUAGAUAUGCUUACGUAGGAAAUAAAUGCUUUUUAUAGGAAAAAAUAUUUACUUUGCUCUUACACAAUGCUUCAAUGUUGUGCUUAUGAGCCCCACAUCCACCUGUAAAAACAUUUUUCUG
This 1318-nucleotide long non-coding RNA is filed under the name Equus asinus (donkey). RNAcentral describes it as "lncRNA (ENSEASG00005032717.1)". The record is from RNAcentral. Lineage: Eukaryota; Metazoa; Chordata; Mammalia; Perissodactyla; Equidae.